Molecule: non-coding RNA, 115 nt
Organism: Methanococcus voltae A3
Lineage: Archaea; Methanobacteriati; Methanobacteriota; Methanococci; Methanococcales; Methanococcaceae
Source: Rfam
GGGAGUAUGGUGUAGUCUGGUCUAUCAUCGGGGACUCCAAGUGCCUAUACGGGCUUGGACCGAAACCCGAUGCAGGAGAUAUCCCUGGACCUGGGUUCAAAUCCCAGUACUCCCA